RNAcentral lists this ribosomal RNA (433 nucleotides) under uncultured bacterium. RNAcentral describes it as "partial 16S ribosomal RNA". It matches the Rfam family "Bacterial small subunit ribosomal RNA", at positions 29 to 507 of the family's 1533-position model. The record is from RNAcentral.
AACGAACGCUGGCGGCAUGCCUAACACAUGCAAGUCGAACGAGACCUUCGGGUCUAGUGGCGCACGGGUGCGUAACGCGUGGGAACCUGCCUUUAGGUUCGGAAUAACUCAGAGAAAUUUGAGCUAAUACCGGAUGAUGUCUUCGGACCAAAGAUUUCUCGCCUUUAGAUGGGCCCGCGUUGGAUUAGCUAGUUGGUGGGGUAAAGGCCUACCAAGGCGACGAUCCAUAGCUGGUCUGAGAGGAUGAUCAGCCACACUGGGACUGAGACACGGCCCAGACUCCUACGGGAGGCAGCAGUGGGGAAUAUUGGACGAUGGGCGAAAGCCUGAUCCAGCAAUGCCGCGUGAGUGAUGAAGGCCUUAGGGUUGUAAAGCUCUUUUACCCGAGAUGAUAAUGACAGUAUCGGGAGAAUAAGCACCGGCUAACUCCGUG